Molecule: ribosomal RNA, 408 nt
Filed under: uncultured bacterium
Lineage: Bacteria
Description: partial 16S ribosomal RNA
Rfam family: Bacterial small subunit ribosomal RNA
Source: RNAcentral
GACGAACGCUGGCGGCGUGCUUAACACAUGCAAGUCGAACGAAGUGGCGAACGGGUGAGUAAUACGUGGGUAACCUGCCCUCCUUUUUGGGAUAAGCCUUGGAAACGGGGUCUAAUACCGAAUAAAGGGGGAUGGGCUCGCGGCCUAUCAGCUUGUUGGUGGGGUGAUGGCCUACCAAGGCGGUGACGGGUAGCCGGCCUGAGAGGGUGACGGGCACUGUUGGACCGGAGAUACGGCCCAGACACCUAGGGGAGGGGGAAGUGGGGGAUAGUGCACAAUGGGGAAAAGCCUAAUGCAGCGGAGCCGCGUGGGGGAUGAAGUCGUUCGGGUUGUAAGCCUGUGUGGCAAUCGAACGGGUAGGUAGAGAAGAAGCGCCGGCUAACUACGUGCCAGCAGCCGCGGUAAUAC